This 497-nucleotide ribosomal RNA is filed under the name uncultured bacterium. RNAcentral's name for it is "partial 16S ribosomal RNA". It matches the Rfam family "Bacterial small subunit ribosomal RNA", at positions 28 to 507 of the family's 1533-position model. The record is from RNAcentral.
GAUGAACGCUGGCGGCGUGCCUAAUACAUGCAAGUCGAACGAACAGACGAUGAGCUUGCUCCUCUGACGUUAGCGGCGGACGGGUGAGUAACACGUGGAUAACCUACCUAUAUUUCUGGGAUAACUACGGGAAACCGGAUCUAAUACCGGAGCAUAUAUUGAACCGCAUGGUGCAAUAGUGAAAUACGGCUUUGCUGUCACUUAUAGAUGGAUCCGCGCCGCAUUAGCUAGUUGGUAAGGUAACGGCUUACCAAGGCUACGAUGCGUAGCCGAACUGAGAGGGUGAUCGGCCACACUGGAACUGAGACACGGUCCAGACUCCUACGGGAGGCAGCAGUAGGGAAUCUUGCGCAAUGGGCGAAAGCUUGACGGAGCAACGCCGCGUGAGUGAUGAAGGCCUUCGGAUCGUAAAACUCUGUUAUUAGGGAAGAACAGCUGUGUCAGUAAAUAUGGCGGUCUUGACGGUACCGAAUCAGAAAGCAACGGCUAACUACGUG